GAUGAACGCUGGCGGCGUGCCUAAUACAUGCAAGUCGAGCGAACGGACGAGAAGCUUGCUUCUCUGAUGUUAGCGGCGGACGGGUGAGUAACACGUGGAUAACCUACCUAUAAGACUGGGAUAACUUCGGGAAACCGGAGCUAAUACCGGAUAAUAUUUUGAACCGCAUGGUUCAAAAGUGAAAGACGGUCUUGCUGUCACUUAUAGAUGGAUCCGCGCUGCAUUAGCUAGUUGGUAAGGUAACGGCUUACCAAGGCAACGAUGCAUAGCCGACCUGAGAGGGUGAUCGGCCACACUGGAACUGAGACACGGUCCAGACUCCUACGGGAGGCAGCAGUAGGGAAUCUUCCGCAAUGGGCGAAAGCCUGACGGAGCAACGCCGCGUGAGUGAUGAAGGUCUUCGGAUCGUAAAACUCUGUUAUUAGGGAAGAACAUAUGUGUAAGUAACUGUGCACAUCUUGACGGUACCUAAUCAGAAAGCCACGGCUAACUACGUGCCAGCAGCCGCGGUAAUACGUAAGUGGCAAGCGUUAUCCGGAAUUAUUGGGCGUAAAGCGCGCGUAGGCGGUUUUUUAAGUCUGAUGUGAAAGCCCACGGCUCACCGUGGAGGGUCAUUGGAAACUGGAAAACUUGAGUGCAGAAGAGGAAAGUGGAAUUCCAUGUGUAGCGGUGAAAUGCGCAGAGAUAUGGAGGAACACCAGUGGCGAAGGCGACUUUCUGGUCUGUAACUGACGCUGAUGUGCGAAAGCGUGGGGAUCAAACAGGAUUAGAUACCCUGGUAGUCCACGCCGUAAACGAUGAGUGCUAAGUGUUAGGGGGUUUCCGCCCCUUAGUGCUGCAGCUAACGCAUUAAGCACUCCGCCUGGGGAGUACGACCGCAAGGUUGAAACUCAAAGGAAUUGACGGGGACCCGCACAAGCGGUGGAGCAUGUGGUUUAAUUCGAAGCAACGCGAAGAACCUUACCAAAUCUUGACAUCCUUUGACAACUCUAGAGAUAGAGCCUUCCCCUUCGGGGGACAAAGUGACAGGUGGUGCAUGGUUGUCGUCAGCUCGUGUCGUGAGAUGUUGGGUUAAGUCCCGCAACGAGCGCAACCCUUAAGCUUAGUUGCCAUCAUUAAGUUGGGCACUCUAAGUUGACUGCCGGUGACAAACCGGAGGAAGGUGGGGAUGACGUCAAAUCAUCAUGCCCCUUAUGAUUUGGGCUACACACGUGCUACAAUGGACAAUACAAAGGGCAGCGAAACCGCGAGGUCAAGCAAAUCCCAUAAAGUUGUUCUCAGUUCGGAUUGUAGUCUGCAACUCGACUACAUGAAGCUGGAAUCGCUAGUAAUCGUAGAUCAGCAUGCUACGGUGAAUACGUUCCCGGGUCU
RNAcentral lists this ribosomal RNA (1371 nucleotides) under uncultured bacterium. RNAcentral's name for it is "bacterial SSU rRNA". It matches the Rfam family "Bacterial small subunit ribosomal RNA", at positions 28 to 1381 of the family's 1533-position model. The record is from RNAcentral.